Molecule: ribosomal RNA, 276 nt
Filed under: bacterium enrichment culture clone ALO1_GLFRUDD03GENF5
Lineage: Bacteria
Description: partial 16S ribosomal RNA
Rfam family: Bacterial small subunit ribosomal RNA
Source: RNAcentral
GAGUUUGAUCGUGGCUCCAGAUUGAACGCUGGCGGCAUGCCUUACACAUGCAAGUCGAACGGCAGCACGGGAGCUUGCUCCUGGUGGCGAGUGGCGAACGGGUGAGUAAUGCAUCGGAACGUAUCCUGGAGUGGGGGAUAACGUAGCGAAAGUUACGCUAAUACCGCAUAUUCUGUGAGCAGGAAAGCGGGGGACCUUCGGGCCUCGCGCUCUUGGAGCGGCCGAUGUCGGAUUAGCUAGUUGGUGAGGUUAAAGGCUCGACCAAGGCGACGAUCC